AACGAACGCUGGCGGCAGGCCUAACACAUGCAAGUCGAGCGCUCACUUCGGUGGGAGCGGCGGACGGGUUAGUAACGCGUGGGAACGUGCCUCUCUCUACGGAAUAGCCAUUGGAAACGAUGAUUAAUGCCGUAUACGCCCUUCGGGGAAAGAUUUAUCGGAGAGAGAUCGGCCCGCGUUAGAUUAGGUAGUUGGUGGGGUAAUGGCCUACCAAGCCUACGAUCUAUAGCUGGUUUGAGAGGAUGAUCAGCAACACUGGGACUGAGACACGGCCCAGACUCCUACGGGAGGCAGCAGUGGGGAAUCUUAGACAAUGGGGGCAACCCUGAUCUAGCCAUGCCGCGUGAGUGAAGAAGGCCUUAGGGUCGUAAAGCUCUUUCGCCUGUGAAGAUAAUGACGGUAGCAGGUAAAGAACCCCCGGGUAACUCCGUGCCAGCAGCCGCGGUAAU
RNAcentral lists this ribosomal RNA (449 nucleotides) under uncultured bacterium. RNAcentral's name for it is "bacterial SSU rRNA". It matches the Rfam family "Bacterial small subunit ribosomal RNA", at positions 29 to 524 of the family's 1533-position model. The record is from RNAcentral.